GACGAACGCUGGCGGCGUGCCUAACACAUGCAAGUUGAGCGACGAACCAGGGCUUGCCCUGGGGCAAAGCAGCGAACGGGUGAGUAACACGUGGGUAACCUACCCCGAUAACCGGGACAACCCGAGGAAACUCGGGCUAAUACCGGAUGUGCUCACUGGACUUCGGUUCAGUGCGUAAAGGAAGCUUCGGCCUCCGUAUCGGAAGGGGCCCGCGGCCCAUUAGUUUGUUGGUGGGGUAACGGCCCCCCAAGACCGCGAUGGGUAGCUGGUCUGAGAGGACGAUCAGCCACACUGGGACUGAGACACGGCCCAGACUCCUACGGGAGGCAGCAGUGGGGAAUCUUGCGCAAUGCGCGAAAGCGUGACGCAGCAACGCCGCGUGGGGGAAGAAGGCCUUCGGGUUGUAAACCCCUUUCAGGAGGGACGAAGGUGCGGCGGUGAAUAGCCGUCCGGACUGACGGUACCUCCACAAGAAGCCCCGGCUAACUACGUG
Molecule: ribosomal RNA, 493 nt
Filed under: uncultured bacterium
Lineage: Bacteria
Description: partial 16S ribosomal RNA
Rfam family: Bacterial small subunit ribosomal RNA
Source: RNAcentral